UACAGAGGUCCCAAGCGUUGUUCGGAUUCACUGGGCGUAAAGGGUGCGCAGGUGGCAUUUCAAGUUUGAUGUGAAAGCUUCGGGCUCAACCCGGAAAUGGCAUUGAAUACUGGAGUGCUGGAGGUUUGGAGGGGGGACUGGAAUUCUCGGUGUAGCAGUGAAAUGCGUAGAUAUCGAGAGGAACACCAGUGGCGAAGGCGAGUCCCUGGACAACACCUGACACUGAGGCACGAAAGCUAGGGGAGCAAACAGG
This 253-nucleotide ribosomal RNA is filed under the name uncultured bacterium. RNAcentral describes it as "partial 16S ribosomal RNA". It matches the Rfam family "Bacterial small subunit ribosomal RNA", at positions 524 to 776 of the family's 1533-position model. The record is from RNAcentral.